CAGUAGCCACGGUAAUACGUAGGGUGCAAGCGUUAAUCGGAAUUACUGGGCGUAAAGCGUGCGCAGGCGGUUUGUUAAGACAGAUGUGAAAUCCCCGGGCUCAACCUGGGAACUGCAUUUGUGACUGGCAGGCUAGAGUAUGGCAGAGGGGGGUGGAAUUCCGCGUGUAGCAGUGAAAUGCGUAGAUAUGCGGAGGAACACCGAUGGCGAAGGCAGCCCCCUGGGCCAAUACUGACGCUCAUGCACGUAAGCGUGGGGAGCAAACAGGAUUAGAUACCCCAGUAGUCCCUGUCUCUUAUAA
This 301-nucleotide ribosomal RNA is filed under the name uncultured bacterium. RNAcentral describes it as "partial 16S ribosomal RNA". It matches the Rfam family "Bacterial small subunit ribosomal RNA", at positions 509 to 809 of the family's 1533-position model. The record is from RNAcentral.